RNAcentral lists this ribosomal RNA (1389 nucleotides) under uncultured bacterium. Its description in RNAcentral is "16S ribosomal RNA". It matches the Rfam family "Bacterial small subunit ribosomal RNA". The record is from RNAcentral.
AGAGUUUGUUCCUGGCUCAGAACGAACGCUGGCGGCGCGUUUUAAGCAUGCAAGUCGAGCGGGAAUCCGGGGCAACCUGGAGGAGAGCGGCGGACGGGUGAGUAACACGUGGAUAAUCUGUCCUUUAGUUUGGGAUAGCCUGAUGAAAGUCAGGAUAAUACCGGAUAAGACAGCCGGGUCACAAGACCUGGUUGGGAAAGGUGCUAAGGCAUCGCUGAAGGGUGAGUCUGCGUCCCAUUAGCUAGAUGGUAGGGUAAAGGCCUACCAUGGCGAUGAUGGGUAGCCGGCCUAAGAGGGUGAACGGCCACAUUGGGACUGAGAUACGGCCCAGACUCCUACGGGAGGCAGCAGCUAAGAAUCUUCCGCAAUGGUGGGAACACUGACGGAGCGACGCCGCGUGAAUGAUGAAGGCCGUGAGGUUGUAAAGUUCUUUUCUGGAGGGAGAAUAAGGAUUGUAGGGAAUGACAGUCUGAUGACGUGAAUCCAGGAAUAAGCCCCGGCUAACUACGUGCCAGCAGCCGCGGUAACACGUAGGGGGCGAGCGUUGUUCGGAAUUAUUGGGCGUAAAGGGUGCGCAGGCGGCUUUGUAAGUCUGCUGUUAAAUGGUUGAGCUCAACUCAAUCAUGCGGUGGAAACUGUGAAGCUAGAGUUAACGAGGGGAUGUCGGAAUUCCAGGUGUAGGGGUGAAAUCUGUAGAUAUAUGGAAGAACACCAGUGGCGAAGGCGGUUUACUAGCCCGAUACUGACGCUCAGUCACGAAAGCGUGGGGAGCAAAUAGGAUUAGAUACCCUAGUAGUCCACGCCGUAAACGAUGACUACUAAAUAUUGCAGUGAUGCAGUGUUGAAGCUAACGCAUUAAGUAGUCCGCCUGGGGAGUACGGUCGCAAGACUGAAAUUUAAAGGAAUUGACGGGGACCCGCACAAGCAGUGGAGCAUGUGGUUUAAUUCGAUGCUACGCGAAGAACCUUACCAGGACUUGACAUGGAUUCAAAUGUUCUAGAGAUAGAAAGAUAGUUAUGGAUCACACAGGUGGUGCAUGGUUGUCGUCAGCUCGUGUCGUGAGAUGUUGGGUUAAGUCCCGCAACGAGCGCAACCCUUGUCCUUAGUUACCAUCAUUUAGUUGGGGACUCUAAGGAGACUGCCGAUGUAAAUCGGAGGAAGGUGGGGAUGACGUCAAAUCAUCAUGCCCUUUAUGUCCUGGGCGACACACGUGCUACAAUGGCCGGUACAAAGAGAAGCGAAACCGCGAGGUCAAGCAAAUCCCAUAAAGCCGGUCUCAGUUCAGAUUGGAGUCUGCAACUCGACUCCAUGAAGUCGGAAUUGCUAGUAAUCGCAGAUCAGCCAUGCUGCGGUGAAUACGUUCCCGGGUCUUGCACUCACCGCCCGUCA